GNGCGUAAUGCAGUCGAGCGGUACAGAAAGUAGCUUGCUACUUUGCUGACGAGCGGCGGACGGGUGAGUAAUGCUUGGGAACAUGCCUUGAGGUGGGGGACAACAGUUGGAAACGACUGCUAAUACCGCAUAACGUCUACGGACCAAAGGGGGCUUCGGCUCUCGCCUUUAGAUUGGCCCAAGUGGGAUUAGCUAGUUGGUGAGGUAAUGGCUCACCAAGGCAACGAUCCCUAGCUGGUUUGAGAGGAUGAUCAGCCACACUGGAACUGAGACACGGUCCAGACUCCUACGGGAGGCAGCAGUGGGGAAUAUUGCACAAUGGGCGCAAGCCUGAUGCAGCCAUGCCGCGUGUGUGAAGAAGGCCUUCNGGUUGUAAAGCACUUUCAGUCAGGAGGAAAGGUUAGUAGUUAAUACCUGCUAGCUGUGACGUUACUGACAGAAGAAGCACCGGCUAACUCCGUGCCAGCAGCCGCGGUAAUACGGAGGGUGCGAGCGUUAAUCGGAAUUACUGGGCGUAAAGCGUACGCNCGCGGUUUGUUAAGCGACAUGUGAAAGCCCCGGGCUCNACCUGGGAAC
RNAcentral lists this ribosomal RNA (576 nucleotides) under Pseudoalteromonas sp. RNAcentral describes it as "bacterial SSU rRNA". It matches the Rfam family "Bacterial small subunit ribosomal RNA", at positions 44 to 621 of the family's 1533-position model. The record is from RNAcentral. Lineage: Bacteria; Pseudomonadati; Pseudomonadota; Gammaproteobacteria; Alteromonadales; Pseudoalteromonadaceae.